This 253-nucleotide ribosomal RNA is filed under the name uncultured prokaryote. Its description in RNAcentral is "partial 16S ribosomal RNA". It matches the Rfam family "Bacterial small subunit ribosomal RNA", at positions 524 to 776 of the family's 1533-position model. The record is from RNAcentral.
UACAGAGGUCCCAAGCGUUGUUCGGAUUCACUGGGCGUAAAGGGUGCGUAGGCGGUUGGGUAAGUCUGACGUGAAAUCUCCGGGCCUAACCCGGAAACUGCGUUGGAUACUAUCCGGCUAGAGGAAUGGAGGGGAGACUGGAAUACUUGGUGUAGCAGUGAAAUGCGUAGAUAUCGUAAGGAAGACCAGUGGCGAAGGCGGGUCUCUGGACAGUUCCUGACGCUGAGGCACGAAGGUCAGGGGAGCAAACGGG